GACGAACGCUGGCGGCGUGCCUAAUACAUGCAAGUAGAACGCACAGGCUGCACCGUAGUUUACUACACCGUAUUCUGUGAGUUGCGAACGGGUGAGUAACGCGUAGGUAACCUGCCUGGUAGCGGGGGAUAACUAUUGGAAACGAUAGCUAAUACCGCAUAAGAACAUUUACUGCAUGGUAGAUGUUUAAAAGGUGCAAAUGCAUCACUACCAGAUGGACCUGCGUUGUAUUAGCUAGUAGGUGAGGUAACGGCUCACCUAGGCGACGAUACAUAGCCGACCUGAGGGGGUGGUCGGCCACACUGGGACUGGGACACGGCCCAGACUCCUACGGGAGGCAGCAGUAGGGAAUCUUCGGCAAUGGGGGGAACCCUGACCGAGCAACGCCGCGUGAGUGAAGAAGGUUUUCGGAUCGUAAAGCUCUGUUGUUAAGGAAGAACGAGUGUGAGAAUGGAAAGUUCAUACUGUGACGGUACUUAACCAGAAAGGGACGGCUAACUACGUG
This 505-nucleotide ribosomal RNA is filed under the name uncultured bacterium. RNAcentral's name for it is "partial 16S ribosomal RNA". It matches the Rfam family "Bacterial small subunit ribosomal RNA", at positions 28 to 507 of the family's 1533-position model. The record is from RNAcentral.